Molecule: long non-coding RNA, 1910 nt
Filed under: Olea europaea (common olive)
Lineage: Eukaryota; Viridiplantae; Streptophyta; Magnoliopsida; Lamiales; Oleaceae
Description: long non-coding RNA (OEUR_LNC011093)
Source: RNAcentral
ACACACACUCAGCACAAUUUGGUCAUUUCACCCUUAUCCUCCUUCCUAUGUGCCACAUCCCGUUCUCACACGAAUGACACAACACAGGUGUCGGCCACACGUGCCACUCCCACUCAUACUCCAUCAUCACUGUCGUCGAUGAACCCCCUUCUCUCUCCCUCUAAAUUCGUCAGUCAAAUCCAACACUCCAUCUGCUUCAAACAUAUAUUCAGUAUUUCUGAAGGGAGAGAGAAAGUGAAAGGUUUUCAAUUUUGUUUCCAUAUCACAACUUUACAGUUCAACACUUGAAUACUUUCUCUCUCUAUCACUAAGCUGCAAUUAUACGGAUCAAAUCUACCACCGCUACUGUCACCGCCAGGUACUGUUUACCAAAAAAUUGCUUUACGUCAUUAAUUUUAUUUCUGUCCUUAAUAGUAUGACCAUAAGCAUGCUUACUCGAAAAUAAACCAAAAUUUCCUUUGCCUGUUCGAAUUUAGCUGUUUCUUUGGGAAAUUAAGAAGUUAAAAAUGUUUUUAGCUGUUUGUACUACGUGCUUUGUAUAUUGUACUUGUGAUUUUGCUGUUUCUGGUAAUGAGCGGAUCUGUUGACAAAUUUUGAUCAACCUUUUCUCAACAAUUCAAAAGUAAAACUGAUUUUUGGAUUAAUCCGUUAGUUUUUCUACAGCUUACCAGAUAUGCAUAUUGUCUAUUUUGAUGUUACCAUAUUUAUGUGUCUCUUAUUUAUGUGAUGAUUUCUUGCUACCAAUAUUUUGUUGUCAUCAUGUGCAAUUACUGUAGUGGCAAUGUAGUCAUAUGGCUUGUCUCAACUGGUAAUCCAUUUUCAAAAAUGUUGAGAAGUAAUAAAAUUGGAUGCUCAAGGUCUAUUAAUAAUGGGGUGCUGUAAUUCUUGCAACUGACAAUUGACAUUUUUGAGUAGCUCAAAAUUGGUAAUAGUGAGAGUUAUUAAAAACGACGAAUAAGUGAGAUAGGAGAUACGAUAGGCUUUCCAAUCAGGAACAUAGAAAUUGAAAGAAUCAAUCAAUCAAUGUUUGGAUUUCAAUCUUCAAUAGCCUGUAAUGGUAGCAACUUUUCAUGGCAUCCAUAGUUUCCAAAAGCAUUUUACUCCUGAUUUUGCAUAUUGUGAAUCAUUUAGAGGCUACUGUACUGACAAUUGUCUAGCUCGUGACCUGAUGUCACUGUGAUAGUAAACAGAAGAAAAGGGGGAAAAAGGCUGCCAACUCACCUUUUUUAUUUUGGUGUCACAUGGAACCUAACAUCACAUUUUUCCCUCUCUAGUUGUCACGUCUAUUAUUUUCAUUUAUCCAAUUUUAAGUUUCCAGGGAUGCUACUCUUAAUAGUUGUGAAUAGGUUUGUGAAUAAUGCAUAGUAAUACUUCACAGAUUCUUUUAGACUCUCUUUGCAUGUAGAUGGUUGUUAUUGGAUGUUAUGUUAAAUAAAUAAAGCAGAGUAGUUCUUUUGUAUUCUAGGAAGUAGAAAAAAAAUUGGAAUGCCUAUAAGCGUCAAUUCAAGGAUUGUAUUUUUUAUUCUAAGUUAACGAGAAUAAUCAUAGUUGAAGUGUCACCAAAGUACACCUGUCUUGGUUUUGCUGUAUGGAAAAUAAUUUUAUAAAAUAUGCUUGUGUAAAAGUGAUAAAUCAAGUAUAAAAUUAUCCUAAAUUCACAAAUGGUAUAUGCUUCUUAUGGAUUUGCAAAGUUCCUAUGUUGGUAGAGAAAGAAAAAUGAAGCAACAGUGGCUAACUUAAUGAACUAUCAGAGUGCUUCUCCAUGAAUGAACUAUUUGUUUUGACAACAAAAAAGCAUAAAAAAUGGUUUUGUUGAUGCAAGAUGUUGAUUGUGGUGUAAAUUUUCAUGGGAAAAGGAGAAACAAAGACACAGAAUUAUUGAAACUGGUGGAGUGCACCUAAAAAUGAAA